GCGCUCACGCCGCACCGGGGCCUCGACGCCGCUCCCGGCUGCAGGACCUCAUUCCUACCAAGCCCACAUGUUUUGCCGGCAGCCGACUGGUCGCGGUGCUUCGUGUUUGGGGUGAUGGGCUGCAAACCGGCGGGAGCCCCCGGCACCGCGGGGCUGAAGGCAGCGGCCGGUGAGCCGCGGGGCAGCUGCAAAGCAGCAGCGAGCACGAAGCAGCUGCGCGCUGCAGCCAGCGCUGCUCCCUGGGGCCGAGCCGCCGGCAAGCGGCCUUUCCUGCAGCUGUGCAUGCGGCAGCUCUGGGAACGGCCGCGCCGAGCCCCUGGGGGCUGCAUCGCGAAGCCAUGGGGUCCGGGGGGUGCGACUUCCCCGGCAGCCUGCCGCAAGCCGAAGCGCGACAGCAAGCCCCGGCUGGCUCCAGCAGCAGGCCAUGCUCCGGCUGCCACGGACAUUCAAAGCCGCCCAGCUUCCCGCCUCGGCCGCGCUCUUCCCGAGGUCGGUGAAAAGCCGGAGAGGAUGAAAAAUGGAAAAUCAGCACUGGAGCCUCGGCUGGGUGCUGCUCCCCUGGUCCCUCUUUGACGGAGUCACACAGGACAGCAAGAGCACACAGGGAUCCCCGGACAGGGAGCGUCUUUGCCGAGCUGUGGACAAACAGCUGUCGUCAAAAAAUGACUCAGACGGGAGAUGCCGGGGCUCAGCCUAACGCCAAAUUUAGACUGGUCUACAAACUCCUGUCGGCUCGAGCUAAAGCCAGGCCGGGGUGCUUAAACGCCAGCACCCACAGCGAGCCCCAGGCCACGGCAAUCGCAGGCUGCGGCAGCCGCGGAGCAGGUCACGGCUCCCGUGGGAGGGAGGCACUUCCCCGCGCCGGCAGCUCCCGCGGCCCUGCUUCGACUUUUGCACGUGUGAGUAUUUGCCAUGUGGAGACAGAGACUGAAAACGCAGCGAAAUUUGGGGACAGAGCCUUGGGAGUGGGCAUAGCGCCGCACAGCCCCUGCAAUGGGUUUCUGGCUCCAGCCUGCCUUAAUUAAUAUUUUUAAUCACAAAAUGAAUGGGCGACAAGUUCUGCUUACGGGGCACGUCAGACCGAGGAAUGCACCAGUGCAGGUACUGCUGUUGGAUUUAUGGAGGAGCUACAGGUGAGGGGACGCAGCCGCGAUCACGAGCCGCUGCUGGCCGUGCGGCUUCUCCCCGCUUCCCGGGAGGAGGCUGCAGGCAGGGGGGGAAUCGGCUCUGGAAAAGCCGUGGGACGGACGCGGGUGGCGGCGAGAAGCCGUCCCCAGGGCCGCUGCAGGAGUGGUGCCGGGGAAGACGCUGCCCGCAAGCCACGUCCACCCGCAGCAGAUGCAAACGGGGCCCCGUGUGCCACUGUCCCGCGGGCACGACCCCGGCACCGCAGGGGAACGCACAGGCAUUGCUGCAGGGACAUGCACGACCCCGACGCUGCAAGGGAACGCAUGCACAGUGCUGCAGGGGAAUGCACAAGCCUGGCACUGGGGAGCUAGGCACCGCUUUCGCCUCCCGCUCCCUCUCCCCGCUCCUUCGGCAGCGCUUCGGCUGCUCUCUCGCCUGCCCACGCGUGCGAUGCUCCCGCGAGGUGCCGAGGCCCAGCUGGCUCCCCAUUUGCACUACAUAAAUAAGGUUUAAUGCACUAAAGAGACCAAUACAGAGCAUUAAUAUUUAAUUCGCUCUAAGCAGCUCAUCUCUCGGUUAAGCACGCGGCAGCCGAGCCCGAGGUCCCCGAGCAGCGGAAAGCGGCAGUUUACCACCAGCUGCUGCUGCCGACCUUUGAGUGCUCAAACAAGGCCCAGGGAAAACGAAAAGAUACUAUGGAAUAGCAGGGCGUUCGAUAAGAUCCAGCCAAGCCCCGCUAGUGCUUGGAUAAUGCAGGAAUUUUGGAAGAAAGCCUCCUAAGGAUCGAGUUAACGGGGGAGGCUGAGCCCCCCACUGCGGGAGGGGGCUUCGCAGCAGCAAAGCCUUUGAGAUGCUCCCUGCGGGCGAAGGGCUGCGAAGGCCCCGCGGUGCCGCUGGCUGACGCGGCACGUUGCAGGGCACCGGGCAGACGUGGGUUCGAGCCCCGGCGCCGGAGGCAGCGGGGAGGCCGGGGAGCCCCGUGGUGCAGCUCAGGCACCGGGGGGGCUGCAGGGGCUUGGAAACCCUCCGCCCGCCCGGCUGCGGAGAUGCUUGAAGGGAUGCAACAGCCCCCGCUCCUGCAGUGCCUGCAAACUGGAGAGGGCUGGGGAGAAUGGGAAACGCUGUGUUAAUUCAGAGGAAAGAAAAGCACUUGCUUUCCUGCACCCUCCCCCUUGCACUAGCCCCCGGCUUGCGCCGUGGGAGCAGGGGGUCACAGCAGCCCCAUCGUGCUGCAGUACCAUGUGGCUUCUGCUUUGCAGGUCUCUCCAAACACGUCUGCAUUUUGGGACACGUUUUUCUACCGGAGUGAGCAGCCAGCCCUCCCGAAAAGCCCCGCUGGGACCCGCAGCAGCCCCGAUCUCACAGCCGCCCCACGGCACAGCGCGUGCUCCGCAGCCGCCCCACGGGGCUCCCGCUCCCCCGUGGGAGCUGCGGCUCCCCAGAGCUCCCCGCAAGGGCCACUUUUCUCCCGCUCCCGGAUCUGGCCCUCCCAGUGCUGCGGACAGGCCCUCAACGCGUUUCCAGUUUCCUAUUUGCAAAGAUCUCCAGAGGUACGUCACCUUCCCAUGCAGCCCGGCGUGUGCCGCGAUACGCUGAGCAUGCAACAGUGCUGUUAAUUAAAAUCCAAAUUCCCAGCGACGUGGAGGGAGCCGCUGACUCCCGAUGUCACUGCCCGGGGGCCAGGGGAUGCGGGACGGCCGCGCAAGCACGGUGCUGCUGCCCGGGCACUGCUGGGGACAGUGAGGCCACCGCGCACCCGGGCACCGGUGCCCGAGGAAGCCCCGCGCGCACAACGAGCCCGUUUCCGAGCAUCCUCAAAGCCUCUUUUCACACCCCAAAUGCUUUUGCCGAGAUUUACUUACAAACAGGCAUCUGCUUUUGCGUUGGCAGCUCCGGCGGCCGCGGGACUUGGGUCGUGGGAGGAAGCGCCGUGGCCGUGCGCCAGCUCCCAGCCCCGGUGGGGCCCGAGCGCCCGGCGCGGGGCAGAGUCGGCCCGUUUGCACAGCGGUCCACGCGGUCCGCGGCCGGGGAACCUGCCCGCCUCCACUUUGUGCUUCCCGGGGGGAUGCAGAAAGGAGGCAGCCAGUCACACCUCGACAGGGUGACAGAAAGCCACUAAAGCAUGAUGAAUCCACGCAGAAGGGAGGGCCUUAGGGCAGUGCCAGCGUUUAAGCGCAGCAAGGCAGUCAGGCCAAGCUUACAGACAGGGAGAAGCCUCUAGGAUGGCGUUUGCGCCGGCGGAGCAGGACCGGGAGCAGAGCGGCGGAGGGCACCGGAGGGAGCAACGUCUCCUCUCACCGCAGCCCUCCGGAGGCUGGACGAGGGCUAUUCAGCAGGUUGCUUGGAGAUACAAAUUCAACAAGAUGAGCUAUUAAAAUAUUUACUGUCCUAAAGAUUCAAGAUUGUGAGCGCCAGGAUGCUUUUCGCAUUUGCACUUCACCAUAGCAAAACUCAACCUUGUUUAAAUACACUAAAAUGCUGAGCACUUGGCAUUUAAAUAGCGCCUUCCAUUUUUGGAAGAAGAUUAGUAAAUUAUAGAAGCAGCUCUUUAGCAUUCAGGAAGCGUAGGGCGUACAUGGGAGUUAUCAAUCAUCCUAGGCAGAUGGUAAAUGUAUCUCCUUUCACCACAAACUGAGCAGCAAACAUUCAAAUUCAUCACCAAGACAACAUAUUUAAAUCCACUUCUAUUUUCAAUUCAUACAUUUUUAACAAACUGCUAAGUAAUGAAAAUCAAUAUUUUCAUCCAAAGAGAAAGCCCUGGAAGCUCUGCCCAGCGGUGGGAUGUCUCCUGCACACCUCAGCCGCACCAAGGGACUCGAGGCACCGCGCAGUGACAUGCUCUGUGCGGGUCACGUCUACAGCUGAGGAGGCACCACCUUUCCACGGACCAGGAAAGGAUCUCCAAUUUAACUGCACUUACCUGCCAAGGUGGGAAGCAUCACUCCAGCCCCGGAAUGGGCACACCGAGGUGGCCUCCCCCCAUUUUUGUUGAAUUUGGAUAGAGAGCAGGACCUGCGCGUUCUCAGCUGAAAACAGGAGUGAAGCGACUAACGCCCUUCCUGCAGAGAUCCCUACGGUCUCAACCGACCAUCUCCUGUGGCAGGAUAUUUGUCUAGUGACUAGCUAAGAUCAUUACAAAAACUGUAUAGACCCAAAAUUAGAUAGAUUUUGCAGAAAUGACUCACAUUGGCAACACACUGCAUGAACUCUACUGGAGAAGACAGAGAAUAUACAUCCAUGAAAAGGCAGACAUAAGAUACCCCAAAUCACCAAACUCAUAACACUUAUAGAAAUACCAUUUUUUCAUCUUAUUUUGCAGCAACAACCUUCUAGAAUUCUCUAAAAGGAGGUAUCUCAAAAACCAUUAAGAGUCGUCCCAGCCAGCUUGUACUUAUCUGCAGCCACAUGUAGGCGAGAUGCUAUCAACCAGUGUAAUGAAAACACCCCACACCGGUCUUAAGAUAAAAAAAAUUUAUUUUACAAUUUUAUAAAGCAGCUUUACAUUAAGCACAAAUGUUGAUCCAUUUACUUUGUAUAUAAACAUAGUAGAACCUUUCCCUCUGCAAAAAGUCAUGUCUUGCUGUAUAUAAAACUAACGUGCACAUUGUGCUUAAACUGCAAAGUCUGUACAGCUUUACAAAGGACUACCCUUCACAAGGGCAUCCUGUAAACAAUUUAUUGCAUAUUUAACACAUGGUGUAUAUCCCACAUGUAAAAAUGUAGAAAAAAUAAAGUACAAUUACACGGUGAAUGAAAA
Long non-coding RNA from Dromaius novaehollandiae (emu), 4885 nucleotides. RefSeq lists it as uncharacterized. The record is from RefSeq and is a predicted model, not a curated record. The transcript is spliced from 2 exons. Lineage: Eukaryota; Metazoa; Chordata; Aves; Casuariiformes; Dromaiidae.